Small nuclear RNA from Hemibagrus wyckioides, 183 nucleotides. RefSeq annotates it as U2 spliceosomal RNA. The record is from RefSeq and is a predicted model, not a curated record. Lineage: Eukaryota; Metazoa; Chordata; Actinopteri; Siluriformes; Bagridae. The transcript has a single exon.
AUGGUGUUGUGUCCUGUCCUGUACUAAAACUGUGUAGUAUCUGUUCUUAUCAGUUUAAUAUCUGAUACGUCCUCUAUAUGAAGACUCCGUAUUAGUCAGAUUUUUAGGAGGCUUUCUCCGUCCACUCCGCGCAUCAACCUGGUAUUGCAGUACUUCCAGGCUUGUACGGGUGGUGUUAGCUCA